Small nuclear RNA from Hippopotamus amphibius kiboko, 103 nucleotides. NCBI's taxonomy places the organism in Eukaryota, Metazoa, Chordata, Mammalia, Artiodactyla, Hippopotamidae. The record is from RefSeq and is a predicted model, not a curated record.
GUAUUCACUUCAUCAGUACCUAUUACAAAAUUGGAAUGAUACACAGAAGAUUAGCAUGGCUCCUGCACAAGGAUGACAUACAAAUUAAUUAUUUGAUAUUUUU